This 387-nucleotide ribosomal RNA is filed under the name uncultured bacterium. Its description in RNAcentral is "bacterial SSU rRNA". It matches the Rfam family "Bacterial small subunit ribosomal RNA", at positions 28 to 417 of the family's 1533-position model. The record is from RNAcentral.
GACGAACGCUGGCGGCGUGCUUAACACAUGCAAGUCGAGCGGUAAGGCCCUUUCGGGGGUACACGAGCGGCGAACGGGUGAGUAACACGUGGGUGACCUGCCCUUAGCUCUGGGAUAAGCCUGGGAAACCGGGUCUAAUACCGGAUAUGACUCCAUGACGCAUGUUGUGGGGUGGAAAGCCUUGUGCGGCUAGGGAUGGGCCUGCGGCCUAUCAGCUUGUUGGUGGGGUGAUGGCCUACCAAGGCGACGACGGGUAGCCGGCCUGAGAGGGCGAUCGGCCACACUGGGACUGAGACACGGCCCAGACUCCUACGGGAGGCAGCAGUGGGGAAUCUUGCGCAAUGGGCGAAAGCCUGACGCAGCGACGCCGCGUGGGGAUGACGGCCU